GCUGGUGGCACCUGGAACUACAGUUCCCAUGCUGCUGCGGGGGAGCGGGAACGCGGCAGCCACCGUCCCGCACUGUAUCCCAUAGUGCCCCACGGCGCCCUUGUUCUUGUAAGCGCGGCGGCCAGGGACUGAAGGUCGUGAAGGCGAAAGAAGCCCUCAGUCGUGCGCCGACCCGUUUCCCAUUCCGGCGCCAUGUUGGGUGCCAGCGUCCGCCGCUUCGCUACCUCCGCCGUCCGCAGAUCCCACUAUGAGGAGGGGCCGGGAAAGAACAUUCCGUUUUCUGUAGAAAACAAGUGGCGGCUACUAGGAUUAAUGGUAGUGUUCUUCGGAAGUGGGUUUGCCGCUCCUUUCAUCAUAGUAAGGCACCAACUGCUCAAGAAAUGAAGAGGACAAGUUUUAAUUCCUAUGAAAAGGAUAAAGAAAUGAAGGUUCAGACAGGCCAAAUGAUUCACCCAGUUUCAUUCAGGACAUCUGUAAAAGAGCUAAGAAGAACUCAGAAGCCCUGUCCAUCCUCCCUUGGCUGCAGUAUUUUAAACAAUGCCCAGGAGAUGGACAUUAGCAGCUGUCUGGAACAAUACAGCAUUGCAUUUAAAUACAUUUAAAAUAAUAGUAUUUGAUGGACUUAAUGAGAAUCGCUGUUCCAUUUUCUGUUUAAACAUUCCAUGAGUAGUUAAGUACUUUCCUUACUUACUUACCUUUUUCAUUAGUUAUGUAGAGAGCAUGGAAGAACAAACAGCACUUUGAAAAAUGUCACAGUAUAUAAAUAGCACUUCUGAGAACAUUAGUAAAGUUCUACUGAACUGCAAAACCAACAAGUUAGUGGUGAACUGUGAAGAUGCAGGCAAGAGAAGAACAUGUAAAAAUCAAGGCAAAAGGGCGAUCAAAUUACUUCCGUAAAGAACUGCAAUGUUGCAGUUCACGAAAUUUUACCAUGACUUUAUUGUGAGUCUGAAUAUUUUUCGUAAAACCCCAGCUCCUGUCAUUAAAUGAUUUUGUGAGAAUCUCAGUUUUCUCUUUUUCAUUUUAGCCCACUUGGUUGUGAAGAAAAGCUUGAAAGUGUGAUCUGAGUGAGGCUCAGAAAAUUAAAAAGAACUCCCAAGUUUUUUUUUUUUUUAAGUAUGAUUUUUCAAGCCCAUAAUCUCAUGAUUUUUUUGAGGCUUUAAUGAUUUCUGAAUGCUUGAGGUUGGCAUAUUGGAACUGUAAACCUCACGAGAAAUAGCACUAGUCUCACUUCAGCUCUCUGGACCCAAUGAAUUUCUUUGAUGACAAAAGGAAGUAUCUCAUCAGAAGUGAAGGAAAAACAUGGCAGCCACGGGCCAGCUGUAUUAUUAACCAUUGAUAUUUGAUAAACUGGGGAUUGUGUUUAACUAAAACCUCCAGACUUUGCAUGUAAAUAGUUUUCAUUGAGGAGAAGGCUCUACGUAUGUGUGGAAAGUAAAUAUAAAGUUAUUAAAUGAAUGAGAAAUCACUGCUGAGUAUGCUGAGAGGGGCAUCUGCUGAGGUUUACAGCAGAACGUAAAGAAGAUCUGCCCCUAUGAGAUCUCUGAAUGCAAAGCUUUCCUGACAGGCCCAAGAGCUGCCACUAGGACAGCUUACAGGAAGAGAAUUUGAAGUGUCUCAGGAAGUACACCACCACAGUGCUCCAAAACAAUGCAAAUUAUGUAUCUUUCCUGCUGUUGAAAAUGCACCUUCUAAUCAUCAGACCCCUUUAAAGUGGUUCAUGUUAAACAUCCAAAAACUGAGGUAUACAAAGCUACUAGUCACUUUUUAAAAUCUUGGCCUGUAUAGUUAAAAACAUAUAUUGAGCCCUGUCUCUUAUCCCUGAACACUUUAUAGAAAUGGCAAUGUAUUGCCUGAAAUUCAAAGCUCCUUCCCUUCAAGCAAUAAUUAUCCUGUGAAUCUUCAGCACUCCACUUGUACUGUGAGGGUUGAUAGUCCCCAGCCCUCUGUGUGACAGUCCUAUUUCGCUCCUGGUACUUUGCAGCCUUUCAUUCUUGCAGAAUUCAGAACAGUAGAGUGCAUGUUACACCUGAGAAUACAGCAAAACAUCUGGUUUCAUAGUGUUUCUGUUAUUCUCCUAGAGCUGCACAAAUUUCCUGUCCUUUUUUCUCCAUAGUGUGUUUCACUGUCUUUCUAUUACACUGUGUUCCUUCUCUGUGGAAAAAACAGACAGUGUAAAACAGUCUAGAAGACUUUUAGGACAAAGUUACAAUGGGUUCUUACGCUAUAAAGCAAGUAUAGCUUUAAACUAUAGUGGCAGUGAUGUUAUCAGUAAGGUCACAUAACAGUUUCCAUCCUAAACCUGUUUUAAGCCACACAGAACUUGUGAAAUUUACUUUUCAUGCUAAAAAAUUUCAAGCUUGGAAUUUGCCCUAAAAUGAAUUACUGAGAAAAAUUUGAACAAAAACCAAUCAUUUGCGUAUGAGCAUAAUUUCAAUACAUAUUUUCUAUUAAAAAAGUAUUUACAGUAAUUUUUGGACAGAUCUACUGUCAAAACAGCUAGGGAUAGAAAGUUAAAAUUGAAGAUUAAAAUAUAUCCAACUGAUAAGUACCUUUGGAUGUAGAGCUGGUUAGAAAAAAAAAUUUACAAUUUUUUUUGUUGAAAAAUGGAUCCCAUCAAAAUUGAAACACUUCACAAAAUUGUGUAGCUCAUACCAACGUUUUAUUGUAGAAAAAAGGUGCUAACAAUGCAAAAACAUCCUGUGUUGACAUUUUCAGUACAAAACAUUUCAGUGUAUCUCUUUGAAGUGACUUUGAUUUAAUUUUUAAAAUUUUGAAUAUACAUUUAUAUAAAAUUUGAAAAAUUUGAAACAGAAACAAAUAUUUUGAUUUUAUCAAAGCAAAACAUUCCAAUAGAGAAGGAUCUAUUUUUUUAUUUUAUUUCAGAAAAUUUCAGGAUUUUCAGGUUUUGUUUGAAACUAGAGUAAAAACAAGUGUCUCAAAAUCUGCCUUGAAAUGGAAUAUUUGUUCUCCACUGAGCUUUAUUUGGAUGUAUCAUUUCCUGUGUAUUUUUCUGUACUCUGUAUUAUGGCAUACCCAGAGUACUAGCAAGAAGUUAUAACUGUAUCUAAGUUUGUAGAAUUGUAUUAUAUUUUAUUGAGGAAAUAGUAUGUGUUCAUUUAAUUUAGACAACAUAAUGAAUAUGCACAAAGUGACAGACCUAAAAAUUGUAUUAAAAACCUCAAUGAUGGCAUGUCCAUGCGUGCUUAACUUUGAAAUUUAACAUUCUUCUAACUUAGUUCUUUGUUUGGAAUAAAUGAUGGUUUACAUAGCAUCACUGUGGUAAAUGUAUAUCUGAAUAAAGAUACUGUGUAGUUCUUA
This is an RNA transcript of Chelonia mydas (Green sea turtle), 3321 nucleotides long. It is a transcript of the gene named cytochrome c oxidase subunit 7C, mitochondrial, with no coding region annotated. Lineage: Eukaryota; Metazoa; Chordata; Testudines; Cheloniidae. The transcript is spliced from 4 exons. The record is from RefSeq and is a predicted model, not a curated record.